RNAcentral lists this ribosomal RNA (253 nucleotides) under uncultured bacterium. Its description in RNAcentral is "partial 16S ribosomal RNA". It matches the Rfam family "Bacterial small subunit ribosomal RNA", at positions 524 to 776 of the family's 1533-position model. The record is from RNAcentral.
GACGGAGGAUGCAAGUGUUAUCCGGAAUCACUGGGCGUAAAGCGUCUGUAGGUGGUUUAGUAAGUCGACUGUUAAAUCUUGAAGCUUAACUUCAAAACUGCAUUCGAAACUAUUAGACUUGAGUAUAGUAAGGGUAAAGGGAAUUUCCAGUGGAGCGGUGAAAUGCGUAGAUAUUGGAAAGAACACCAAUGGCGAAGGCACUUUACUGGGCUAUUACUGACACUCAGAGACGAAAGCUAGGGUAGCAAAUGGG